GAUGAACGCUGGCGGCGUGCCUAAUACAUGCAAGUCGAGCGAACAGACGAGGAGCUUGCUCCUCUGACGUUAGCGGCGGACGGGUGAGUAACACGUGGAUAACCUACCUAUAAGACUGGGAUAACUUCGGGAAACCGGAGCUAAUACCGGAUAAUAAAUUGAACCGCAUGGUUCAAUAGUGAAAGACGGUUUUGCUGCCACUUAUAGAUGGAUCCGCGCCGCAUUAGCUAGUUGGUAAGGUAACGGCUUACCAAGGCAACGAUGCGUAGCCGACCUGAGAGGGUGAUCGGCCACACUGGAACUGAGACACGGUCCAGACUCCUACGGGAGGCAGCAGUAGGGAAUCUUCCGCAAUGGGCGAAAGCCUGACGGAGCAACGCCGCGUGAGUGAUGAAGGUCUUCGGAUCGUAAAACUCUGUUAUUAGGGAAGAACAAAUGUGUAAGUAACUAUGCACGUCUUGACGGUACCUAAUCAGAAAGCCACGGCUAACUACGUG
This 497-nucleotide ribosomal RNA is filed under the name uncultured bacterium. RNAcentral describes it as "partial 16S ribosomal RNA". It matches the Rfam family "Bacterial small subunit ribosomal RNA", at positions 28 to 507 of the family's 1533-position model. The record is from RNAcentral.